Long non-coding RNA from Humulus lupulus (European hop), 2238 nucleotides. RefSeq lists it as uncharacterized. The record is from RefSeq and is a predicted model, not a curated record. The transcript is spliced from 2 exons. NCBI's taxonomy places the organism in Eukaryota, Viridiplantae, Streptophyta, Magnoliopsida, Rosales, Cannabaceae.
AAAUAUAGAUAUAUAUUUAUAUAAAUUGAAAGCUGAUGAACACAACUCAAACACAUCCUAUAUUAAUUAUUGUUUGUAAGCUUUAACUUCAAUUAACAUAAAUAGGCGCCUCUUUUACGUUGUAGGGUUGGUGGAUUAUAUUCAAUGCCCCAGCAUUUUCAGAGGUCACGCCCCACCUUCCAUUUUUUGAUCUUCAAUCUCUCUCUCUCUCUCUCUCAUAAAAAAUAAUAAAAAAAAAAGAUUCUCUUCUCAUCAAAGUAGCUCCCAAAGAAGACAUGGCAUCCUAUUCAGUAGUAAUACGUACAAGCAUUAAAAAACAUAGGACAUUUUCCCAAUCAAAUCCCGGCCAGAACACACACUCGAUCGAAGAUUUGUUGAGAAACUACGUACUAUUACUAGUACUACUCGGGAGGUUAGCUAUAUCUAUAUAUAUAUGUGGGAUAUUGGUACGGUUCAAUCAGAAACUAGUUCUUUAUUCUAUGUAGAGAUCUUUUGUUUGAUUGAGCCGUGCCAAUAUCACAUAUAAUAUAAUUAAACUACUCUAAAUAAAUUUAUUUAUAUAUAAAUAUAUUCCUAGCUUAUAGCAAGUAAAGGGUCCAAAUAUAUAUAUGUAAGAUUUUUUUUGUUUUCUUUUAUAAUUUUUCAUUAUAACUACUAGUCUUCAAUUUAUUUAUACCGGCAGUCACAGUACUAAAUUUUCCUGGUUUGGAAACUCUUUUCAAUACAUUUGAUCGAUUUGCCAAUUCUUAUAUUAUUAUUAAACCAAUAUAUAUAGUUUGGUUUAUUAUAUCAUCGAGAACAUUUUAUUAAUUAUUUGAAUGUCUUAAAGGUAAAAACUCGAAGAAAAAAAUCAUGCUAGAAUAUUGUUUCGAUCGAGCUUGUAUAUAUCACGUCCCCGAUAUAUUAAAUAUCAAACAGUUUAAAUAGAUACUAAAUAAUAAAAAAUAUACACAAUACAAUAAAAUCUUAGCAAAAAAAAAAAAAUUAACUAAUUUUAUUUUGCAUUUUGUACAUGCAAUUACACAUAUUUAGAAAAAAAGAACUAAAAUCUUCAUUUCUAAAAUAUUAAGUCUAAAAAUAUGUGUAUUAUGAUUUUUAUUUGGAAAUGUUUAAUCUCUAAACUCUUGUCUUUAAGAUUUAUAUAAAUAAGCAUGACCAUCAUACUAAAGUCUUAAUUGUUAAAUACUAACUUCAAUUAAAAAUAUAUAUAUAUAUUAAUUAAUUAUAUAAUACAUAUGUCGUAAUUAAAAAAAUUUGUCACAAUUUUUUAAUAAUUUAUUUUGCUUAUUAUAUUAUUUCAAACAAAAAUUCGCCCCUGCUAAAAUUGAACACAAAGUCUGCCACUAUCUUAAUCCAAACAUAAUAAAAUAAGAAAAACAAACAAACAAUAAAGAUGGAACUCGCACUUGGAGCAGGCAUGGAUCGGUUCACACAUGAUUGAUCCCAUCCAUUUUACUCAACUUGGGGAUGGAAGAGCACGGGACGUGGUUCUCUCAUGUAGCAUAUAUAGUACAUAAGACAACACUUUCUUUCUUGGAAACAUCAUGUGUGGUAUCAUUUUGUAUUGAUAUUUUUGUUAUAAUUAUUAUAUUGAUGUUUAUAUAUUUUAAUAUAUUUAAUAAAUAAUUUUGUUAUUUAAAAUUUUAUUCUAGCAAAUUAUAUUUAUAUCAUCGUCAAAAAAGUACGUAUAUUUCUAUUUUAAAUAUUAAAUUUAUAUAAAAAAAAAUAAUAACUUAUGAAUAUUAUAUGGCCAAGUUAUAGUAACUACUAUUUUGUUUACUGGUACAUAUAUAGCAUAUUAUUUACUUAAUCCAAUUUCCAUCUAGUCAUCAAAUAACUUAACUACUCUUAGAAUUACUUUGUUAGAAUUGGAUUUUGUGUGGCAGAAUAUUGAUGAAGCCUUAGAGAUUAUUGAAAUGUCAAAGACCCAAAGAGAAUUGAAACGAGUCAUUAGAGGUCUGAGAAUAUAUGAUGAUGACUUUUCAAUUUCCAUGGUCAUGACAAGCAACCAAGAUCAAAUUUGUCCCCCAAACUAUGACUAGCUUUUACUUGCUAAAAAAGGAAAACCAAUAUAUAUCACUAUUGUUACUGUUUUACUUUUGCCAUGACAUGCUGUAAUAUUGUUAUUCAUCCAUUUAUUGCUUUUAAUAAUUUUAUGCGGUAAAUAGAUUUACUUUUCAUCGGUAUUUGAUAUAAGCACUACCAAAUUCUAUUAUUGAUUUCAAAGUUUUAUUUCUA